Molecule: ribosomal RNA, 253 nt
Filed under: uncultured bacterium
Lineage: Bacteria
Description: partial 16S ribosomal RNA
Rfam family: Bacterial small subunit ribosomal RNA
Source: RNAcentral
UACGUAGGGUGCAAGUGUUGUCCGGAAUUAUUGGGCGUAAAGAGCUCGUAGGCGGUUUGUCGCGUCUGCUGUGAAAACUCGGGGCUUAACUCCGGGCCUGCAGUGGGUACGGGCAGACUAGAGUGCGGUAGGGGAGACUGGAAUUCCUGGUGUAGCGGUGAAAUGCGCAGAUAUCAGGAGGAACACCGGUGGCGAAGGCGGGUCUCUGGGCCGUAACUGACGCUGAGGAGCGAAAGCGUGGGGAGCGAACAGG